UUACCCCGCAAGGGGUAGCUGAGUGGCGAACGGGUGAGUAACACGUGGGUGACCUACCUUCGAGUGGGGGAUAACGUCCCGAAAGGGACGCUAAUACCGCAUAACAUCCUGCCUUUGAACAGGCGGUGAUCAAAGCCGGGGACCGCAAGGCCCGGCGCUUGAUGAGGGGCCCGCGUCUGAUUAGCUAGUUGGUGAGGUAACGGCCCACCAAGGCGACGAUCAGUAUCCGGCCUGAGAGGGCGGACGGACACACUGGGACUGAGACACGGCCCAGACUCCUACGGGAGGCAGCAGUGGGGAAUUGUUCGCAAUGGGCGCAAGCCUGACGACGCAACGCCGCGUGGAGGAUGAAGGUCUUCGGAUUGUAAACUCCUGUUGCCCGGGACGAAUAGCUUUGACCUAAUACGUCGAAGUCUGACGGUACCGGGUGAGGAAGCCCCGGCUAACUCUGUGCCAGCAGCCGCGGUAAUACAGAGGGGGCAAGCGUUGUUCGGAAUUACUGGGCGUAAAGGGCGCGUAGGCGGCCUGCUAAGUCGAACGUGAAAUCCCCGGGCUCAACCCGGGAACUGCGUCCGAUACUGGGAGGCUUGAAUUCGGGAGAGGGAUGCGGAAUUCCAGGUGUAGCGGUGAAAUGCGUAGAUAUCUGGAGGAACACCGGUGGCGAAGGCGGCAUCCUGGACCGAAAUUGACGCUGAGGCGCGAAAGCCAGGGGAGCAAACGGGAUUAGAUACCCCGGUAGUCCUGGCCCUAAACGAUGAAUGCUUGGUGUGGCGGGUAUCGAUCCCUGCCGUG
This 792-nucleotide ribosomal RNA is filed under the name uncultured Acidobacteriota bacterium. RNAcentral describes it as "bacterial SSU rRNA". It matches the Rfam family "Bacterial small subunit ribosomal RNA", at positions 72 to 845 of the family's 1533-position model. The record is from RNAcentral. Lineage: Bacteria; Pseudomonadati; Acidobacteriota.